CACUCCAGUGGGUUCACACUGGAGUGAGACAGUUCUGUGUGUGAGAAGAAAAUCACUGAUUCAUCCACUCUGCAGAAGCACUGGUGAAUUUACACGAUGUGGAAAAAUGAUUCUCUCAGACUUACAACCUGCUGGCACACCUGUAAAUUCACACCAGGCAGAAGCCAUUCAUUUGUUCUGUGUGGGAAUGAAUUCAACCAAUCAUCCCACUUGCUGAGUGAUCUUGGCAGCCACACAGAGGAUAAACACACUACUGGCCCUGACUGGAGCUGUUAAUUUUAUCAAAUGGGCAUUCAGAAGUUUGUAUUUACAUUCAGAAGGUGAAACAGUGCAUCACGUGAAAAACUGACAGUCAUUCAGUUCAUCAGCAUCUGAAAUCAUUAGCCUCUGAAGAAAUGCUGUCUAUAAGAAAAGAUUUUAACCAUCAGUGUGACUGCAAAAUCACCAAGACAUACACAUGCAAGGAGAGUGUUCCAGUGAAAGUACUGUUGAAAGAGUAUUCACCAGCUACUCAGCCUGAAAAUUAAUUACGCCAUCCAUGAUGGGGAGAGAUCAUUGAUAAGUUCUGUUUGUGGAGAUCGAUUUCAAUCAAUCACUGAACCUGG
Molecule: non-coding RNA, 605 nt
Organism: Chiloscyllium plagiosum (whitespotted bambooshark)
Lineage: Eukaryota; Metazoa; Chordata; Chondrichthyes; Orectolobiformes; Hemiscylliidae
Source: RefSeq, a predicted model, not a curated record